This 96-nucleotide small RNA is filed under the name Pseudomonas sp. M30-35. RNAcentral's name for it is "t44 RNA". It matches the Rfam family "t44 RNA". From Rfam's summary of the family: This family consists of a number of bacterial RNA genes of between 135 and 170 bases in length. The t44 gene is found between the map and rpsB genes in all species in the full alignment apart from Shigella flexneri. Lineage: Bacteria; Pseudomonadati; Pseudomonadota; Gammaproteobacteria; Pseudomonadales; Pseudomonadaceae. The record is from Rfam by way of RNAcentral.
UGUCCAAAAGCAUAAACCCACACACGUAUCGACACGAUUUCCUGGGUGCCGUUUGUUCUGCAAAUGGUUGGAGAUUGGGAUGCGUGGAGGCCUAAC